Molecule: ribosomal RNA, 2237 nt
Filed under: Pseudomonas syringae pv. syringae
Lineage: Bacteria; Pseudomonadati; Pseudomonadota; Gammaproteobacteria; Pseudomonadales; Pseudomonadaceae
Description: bacterial LSU rRNA
Rfam family: Bacterial large subunit ribosomal RNA
Source: RNAcentral
GGCCAUAGUGGGUGAUAGCCCUGUACGCGAAAAUCCCUUUGCAAUGAAAUCGAGUAGGACGGGGCACGAGAAACCUUGUCUGAAUAUGGGGGGACCAUCCUCCAAGGCUAAAUUCUACUGACUGACCGAUAGUGAACCAGUACCGUGAGGGACAGGCGAAAAGAACCGCGGAGAGCGGAGUGAAAUAGAUCCUGAAACCGUAUGCGUACAAGCAGUGGGAGCCCACUUUGUUGGGUGACUGCGUACCUUUUGUAUAAUGGGUCAGCGACUUAUUUUCAGUGGCGAGCUUAACCGAAUAGGGGAGGCGUAGCGAAAGCGAGUCUUAAUAGGGCGUCUAGUCGCUGGGAAUAGACCCGAAACCGGGCGAUCUAUCCAUGGGCAGGUUGAAGGUUGGGUAACACUAACUGGAGGACCGAACCGACUACCGUUGAAAAGUUAGCGGAUGACCUGUGGAUCGGAGUGAAAGGCUAAUCAAGCUCGGAGAUAGCUGGUUCUCCUCGAAAGCUAUUUAGGUAGCGCCUCAUGUAUCACUGUAGGGGGUAGAGCACUGUUUCGGCUAGGGGGUCAUCCCGACUUACCAAACCGAUGCAAACUCCGAAUACCUACAAGUGCCGAGCAUGGGAGACACACGGCGGGUGCUAACGUCCGUCGUGAAAAGGGAAACAACCCAGACCGUCAGCUAAGGUCCCAAAGUCAUGGUUAAGUGGGAAACGAUGUGGGAAGGCUUAGACAGCUAGGAGGUUGGCUUAGAAGCAGCCACCCUUUAAAGAAAGCGUAAUAGCUCACUAGUCGAGUCGGCCUGCGCGGAAGAUGUAACGGGGCUCAAACCAUGCACCGAAGCUACGGGUAUCAUCUUUCCCACGCCGAAAGACCAAGGUUUCCUGCGCAACGUUAAUCGACGCAGGGUUAGUCGGUCCCUAAGGCGAGGCUGAAAAGCGUAGUCGAUGGAAAACAGGUUAAUAUUCCUGUACUUCUGGUUAUUGCGAUGGAGGGACGGAGAAGGCUAGGCCAGCCUGGCGUUGGUUGUCCAGGUUUAAGGUGGUAGGCUGAGAUCUUAGGUAAAUCCGGGAUCUUAAGGCCGAGAGCUGAUGACGAGUGUUCUUUUAGAACACGAAGUGGUUGAUGCCAUGCUUCCAAGAAAAGCUUCUAAGCUUCAGGUAACCAGGAACCGUACCCCAAACCGACACAGGUGGUUGGGUAGAGAAUACCAAGGCGCUUGAGAGAACUCGGGUGAAGGAACUAGGCAAAAUGGCACCGUAACUUCGGGAGAAGGUGCGCCGGUGGAGGUGAAGCAUUUACUGCGUAAGCCCCUGCCGGUCGAAGAUACCAGGCCGCUGCGACUGUUUAUUAAAAACACAGCACUCUGCAAACACGAAAGUGGACGUAUAGGGUGUGACGCCUGCCCGGUGCCGGAAGGUUAAUUGAUGGGGUUAGCGCAAGCGAAGCUCUUGAUCGAAGCCCCGGUAAACGGCGGCCGUAACUAUAACGGUCCUAAGGUAGCGAAAUUCCUUGUCGGGUAAGUUCCGACCUGCACGAAUGGCGUAACGAUGGCGGCGCUGUCUCCACCCGAGACUCAGUGAAAUUGAAAUCGCUGUGAAGAUGCAGUGUAUCCGCGGCUAGACGGAAAGACCCCGUGAACCUUUACUAUAGCUUUGCACUGGACUUUGAAUUUGCUUGUGUAGGAUAGGUGGGAGGCUUUGAAGCGUGGACGCCAGUCUGCGUGGAGCCAACCUUGAAAUACCACCCUGGCAACUUUGAGGUUCUAACUCAGGUCCGUUAUCCGGAUCGAGGACAGUGUAUGGUGGGUAGUUUGACUGGGGCGGUCUCCUCCUAAAGAGUAACGGAGGAGUACGAAGGUGCGCUCAGACCGGGNGGGGAUAACAGGCUGAUACCGCCCAAGAGUUCAUAUCGACGGCGGUGUUUGGCACCUCGAUGUCGGCUCAUCCCAUCCUGGGGCUGAAGCCGGUCCCAAGGGUAUGGCUGUUCGCCAUUUAAAGUGGUACGCGAGCUGGGUUUAGAACGUCGUGAGACAGUUCGGUCCCUAUCUGCCGUGGACGUUUGAGAUUUGAGAGGGGCUGCUCCUAGUACGAGAGGACCGGAGUGGACGAACCUCUGGUGUUCCGGUUGUCACGCCAGUGGCAUUGCCGGGUAGCUAUGUUCGGAAAAGAUAACCGCUGAAAGCAUCUAAGCGGGAAACUUGCCUCAAGAUGAGAUCUCACUGGAACCUUGAGUUCCCU